RNAcentral lists this ribosomal RNA (252 nucleotides) under uncultured bacterium. Its description in RNAcentral is "partial 16S ribosomal RNA". It matches the Rfam family "Bacterial small subunit ribosomal RNA", at positions 527 to 779 of the family's 1533-position model. The record is from RNAcentral.
CGGAGGGGCUAGCGUUGUUCGGAAUUACUGGGCGUAAAGCGCGCGUAGGCGGGUAUUCAAGUCGGGGUGAAAUCCCGGGGCUCAACCCCGGAACUGCCUCCGAUACUGGAUGCCUGGAGGACGGGAGAGGCGAGUGGAAUGCCGAGUGUAGAGGUGAAAUUCGUAGAUAUUCGGCGGAACACCCGUGGCGAAGGCGGCUCGCUGGUCCGUUUCUGACGCUGAGGCGCGAAAGCGUGGGGAGCAAACAGGAUU